GUCUUUUACAUUUGAAAAAAACUGAUUGAUAUUCCUCAAAUUCCUUACCUUAAACAUUCAUACUUGAGUAGUACAGUCUACCGCCAUUCCUCCACCGCCGUGCCACCACCUCUAUUUCGGUCACCAGACUCACCGUUGUUCCUCCACCUCUGUUUUUAGAAGAGAUGGCUUUACAAAAUGCCCUAGUUCUGUUGUUCCCCAAUUCUGGUAGCUUUUUAUCAAGCCCACAACAAAAGAGAACCUUUGUUCCAGUUAUUAGGAUGGAGUGCAGAUCUCACCUUUCUUCGUCGAAUCUUCGUGCUCUUUCUCUACUGCGCUGUGAUUUCAGAAAAUGGAGAUGUGGAAGUGCCAGAAAUGCGGAGAAAGUGAAGUUUGAUGAUGAGGAUGGUCCCAUGGAUGAAGAAGAGAGGCGUGAGUGGAGGAAAAAGAUAUGGGAAGUCAUUGAUAAGAACCCAGAUGUUCAAGAAGAGCUUGAUCCUGAGGAGAAGCAGAAGAAGAUGCAGAAGCUUUUAGCUGAGUAUCCCCUUGUUGUGGAGGAGGAAGAUCCUGAUUGGCCUGAGGAUGCUGAUGGACGGGGCUUUAGUUUGGAUCAAUUUUUUAAUAAGAUUACCAUCAAGAAUGUGAAGAAAGAUGAUGAUGAUGAUGAGAAUUAUGAUAGUGACAAGGAAAUUGUGUGGCAGGAUGAUGAUUACCUUCGCCCAAUUAAAAACAUUACCACUUCAGAAUGGGAGGAGACGGUGUUCAAGGAUAUCAGUCCUCUAAUUAUUUUAGUGCACAACCGCUAUAAAAGACCAAAAGAGAAUGAAAGAUGUCGAGAUGAAUUGGAGAAAGCUGUAAAUAUUAUCUGGAACUGCAGGCUACCAUCGCCUAGGUGUGUAGCAAUAGAUGCAGUUGUUGAUUGUGAUUUAGUUUCUGCUUUAAAGGUGUCCAUCUUCCCAGAGCUCAUCUUCACAAAAGCUGGGAAGAUAUUAUAUCGUGAGAAAGUUAUAAGACCAGCCGAUGAGUUAUCUAAGAUCAUGGCAUUCUUUUACUAUGGUGCGGCAAAGCCACCUUUCUUCAACAUUAUGGAAAACAUUGAUGAAGCAAUUCCAUCAGCUCCAAUGAGCAAUGAAUCUUAGUGAGAAACACUGCUAUUCAGGAAUUAUAAGGUAUUUAGGAAUGCUACUCCAAGUCUUUCAAAUAUUAUUACUCCAUCCAUGCAGCGAAUGAAAGGAAAAUACCUCAAUUCUAUUUCCUUUCUAAAGGUUUUGUUGGUGUUUAACCCGGCAAUUGCAAAACUGAACCCGAGCCUCAUCUUCAUAUAACUCCAGAUAGAUGCUGCUUGGUUUAAGCACACAACAAUAGCGAGGUUUGCUUGGACUUUGGAGGAGGUGAUUAUGAUUUAUGGGGUUGUAACUUGGGCUCACACAACAACUUGAGAUGGUUAUAAUCGUUACAGAUUGUGCUAAUCUUAUUACUCCUUUACAGGUGCAUCUAUCAGCUACAAUCUCUGUCAAAUGGACUCUUCUUCAAAUUAUAAGUGUAGCUAGGACUUUAGAUUCCUGCUUCCUUAGUGAAUCGUAAUUGGAUUCUUUUAUUACGUGUAUCAGCCGUUUUAGGAGGACAAAUAUCUUCAUAUCAUAAUGGAUGAGCGAAUUAUUGGGACGAGCUAGAUUUGAACAAAGCUUGUAUUUUGACAAAGCAAUGUGCUGAAACUUGUCCAGAUUCACUUUUACCAUUAGUUGUGUUUA
Molecule: RNA transcript, 1730 nt
Organism: Beta vulgaris subsp. vulgaris (sugar beet)
Lineage: Eukaryota; Viridiplantae; Streptophyta; Magnoliopsida; Caryophyllales; Amaranthaceae
Exons: 8
Source: RefSeq, a predicted model, not a curated record